GACGAACGCUGGCGGCGUGCCUAAUACAUGCAAGUAGAACGCUGAAGGAGGAGCUUGCUCUUCUGGAUGAGUUGCGAACGGGUGAGUAACGCGUAGGUAACCUGCCUGGUAGCGGGGGAUAACUAUUGGAAACGAUAGCUAAUACCGCAUAACAGUAGAUGUUGCAUGACAUUUGCUUAAAAGGUGCAAUUGCACCACUACCAGAUGGACCUGCGUUGUAUUAGCUAGUUGGUGGGGUAACGGCUCACCAAGGCGACGAUACAUAGCCGACCUGAGAGGGUGAUCGGCCACACUGGGAAUGAGACACGGCCCAGACUCCUACGGGAGGCAGCAGUAGGGAAUCUUCGGCAAUGGACGGAAGUCUGACCGAGCAACGCCGCGUGAGUGAAGAAGGUUUUCGGAUCGUAAAGCUCUGUUGUAAGAGAAGAACGAGUGUGAGAGUGGAAAGUUCACACUGUGACGGUAUCUUACCAGAAAGGGACGGCUAACUACGUG
This 495-nucleotide ribosomal RNA is filed under the name uncultured bacterium. RNAcentral's name for it is "partial 16S ribosomal RNA". It matches the Rfam family "Bacterial small subunit ribosomal RNA", at positions 28 to 507 of the family's 1533-position model. The record is from RNAcentral.